This 268-nucleotide ribosomal RNA is filed under the name uncultured bacterium. RNAcentral's name for it is "partial 16S ribosomal RNA". It matches the Rfam family "Bacterial small subunit ribosomal RNA", at positions 28 to 334 of the family's 1533-position model. The record is from RNAcentral.
GACGAACGCUGGCGGCAGGCUUAACACAUGCAAGUCGAACGAUAUAGUGGCAGACGGGUGAGUAACGCGUGGAAACGUGCCUUUCACUACGGAAUAGCUUUUGGAAACGAAAGGUAAUACCGUAUACGCCCUCCGGGGGAAAGAUUUAUCGGUGAAAGAUCGGUCCGCGUUAGAUUAGCUAGUUGGUGAGGUAAUGGCUCACCAAGGCGACGAUCUAUAGCUGGUCUGAGAGGAUGAUCAGUCACACUGGGACUGAGACACGGCCCAG